CCUACGGGGGGCAGCAGUGGGGAAUAUUGCGCAAUGGGGGAAACCCUGACGCAGCAACGCCGCGUGGAGGAUGAAGGCCUUCGGGUCGUAAACUCCUGUCAGGUGGGAAGAAUAGGCUUCGGCUAAUACCCGAAGCUCUUGACGGUACCACCAGAGGAAGCCCCGGCUAACUCCGUGCCAGCAGCCGCGGUAAUACGGAGGGGGCAAGCGUUAUUCGGAAUCAUUGGGCGUAAAGGGCGCGUAGGCGGCUUGGCAAGUCAAAGGUGAAAUCCCUCGGCCUAACCGAGGAACUGCCUUUGAAACUGCUUGGCUUGAGGCCGGGAGAGGGUAGCGGAAUUCCCAGUGUAGCGGUGAAAUGCGUAGAUAUUGGGAGGAACACCAGUGGCGAAGGCGGCUACCUGGACCGGUUCUGACGCUGAGGCGCGAAAGCGUGGGGAGCA
This 440-nucleotide ribosomal RNA is filed under the name uncultured bacterium. Its description in RNAcentral is "bacterial SSU rRNA". It matches the Rfam family "Bacterial small subunit ribosomal RNA", at positions 338 to 770 of the family's 1533-position model. The record is from RNAcentral.